This 316-nucleotide ribosomal RNA is filed under the name uncultured bacterium. Its description in RNAcentral is "bacterial SSU rRNA". It matches the Rfam family "Bacterial small subunit ribosomal RNA", at positions 28 to 334 of the family's 1533-position model. The record is from RNAcentral.
GAUGAACGCUGGCGGCGUGCUUAACACAUGCAAGUCGAGCGAAGCACUCGGAAGUUUUCGGACAGAAGAGUGACUGAGCGGCGGACGGGUGAGUAACGCGUGGGUAACCUGCCUCAUACAGGGGGAUAACAGUUAGAAAUGACUGCUAAUACCGCAUAAGCGCACAGAACCGCAUGGUUCGGUGUGAAAAACUCCGGUGGUAUGAGAUGGACCCGCGUCUGAUUAGGUAGUUGGUGGGGUAACGGCCCACCAAGGCGACGAUCAGUAGCCGGUCUGAGAGGAUGAACGGCCACAUUGGGACUGAGAUACGGCCCAG